RNAcentral lists this small nucleolar RNA (135 nucleotides) under Setaria italica (foxtail millet). RNAcentral describes it as "Small nucleolar RNA Z247". It matches the Rfam family "Small nucleolar RNA Z247". From Rfam's summary of the family: Z247 is a member of the C/D class of snoRNA which contain the C (UGAUGA) and D (CUGA) box motifs. Most of the members of the box C/D family function in directing site-specific 2'-O-methylation of substrate RNAs. The record is from Rfam by way of RNAcentral. RNAcentral also lists the same sequence under 1 other name. Lineage: Eukaryota; Viridiplantae; Streptophyta; Magnoliopsida; Poales; Poaceae.
ACCAUUGAUGAUGAUAAUCUCAUCGAAUAUAUCCUCAAUGGAUUGAACUCAGAUUCAAUCCCUUUGUUUCCUCAAAGUCUACUAAAGAUUCUAUCAGCCUUAGUGAUCUUUAUGCUGACUUAUUAUCCUUUGAAG